CAGCAAUUAAAAGCGGACUAAAUUCCUGGUGUAAAUUUAAAUUAAAUGCAAAAAUGAAAUUAGCUUUUUUAUGUGUUUUGUUAUAUAUUUUACUUUGUGCAGUUGCAGACUCUGCAAUAAUAGUGCCACAGUCAAACUCGUCAACUUUAAAACCAAAAACAACAACAACGCUAGAAAAUACUGCUAAACUCCAGUGGAAAGCAAAAACAAAUUUUACGGUGACUACAAAGUACCUAUUUCGUGUAAAGUGUGUCGAAGGUGCAGUGCUCAACGAUGUAACUAAAGAAUGUAGUGUUCCAUUUAACGUUUAGGGUUAAGUAACAAGUGUCCCUAAAGACAACGAAAUACAAAUGAAAAUGAAAUUCGUUUUUUUAUGUGUAUUAUUACACAUUUUACUUUGUACACUUGUAAACUCUGCAACAACAGUGUUAAACACAAACCCUUCAAAUUUAAAACCUGAAACAUCAAGAACUGUAGAAAGUACUACUGAACUCCAGUGGACCAAAAAAGAAUCAUUUACGCUGGCCCCGAAGAACAUAGUUCGUGCAAAUUGUGUUCAAGGUUACGUUUACAACGAAUUAGAAGGGAAAUGUGUCCCUAUAUUUAACCUGACGAUAAGUAUUAACAAACAGUUUUAGUAAAGAUAGUGAAGUAGUCAUUCUUCUCCGUGAAGAUGAAGUCCUUGUUGUGUGUAGUUAUUUGUGUGUGUCUUCUGCAAGUAACCCUUGUAGAAUCUGGUGCAAUCAUUGAAAAAAUCAAAAGCGGCGCUUCAAAAGUGAAACAAGGCGUUCACUGCGGGUUCCACAAAGCUAAAAGCGUGUUUGUUGAACACGAACACAUAAAGGAUCCUUGCGAUUUCAGUAGCCACAAGCUUAACGUCGAGGCUCCUGAGAUUGACAUAAGAGGACAAGAAAAAUAUGUGACGAAUGCACUAGGGGAUUGGUGAAUCAUUUAAUCUGGAUCACUGUUUGCCAGGACAACGUAGACAAUAAGUUAAUGUUAAAGGUUAUCAUUGAAUUUUUUCUGCGUCCCUGUGUUCUUGCUGCGGUGAAAUUUUGAGUGGGAAACCUGAAAUUCAACAACAACGGAUUUUUUACAAAUUAGAGAUUGACAUGUGGAAUUUUGGGGUAAUUUUGUGUUUUCAAUUUUUUUUAUUUAUUGUUUGUGUUAACGUUAAUGCUGAGGAAGUUAUUACCACUGAGACAGCGGUCGUAACCACUGAGACAGCGGUCGCAACCACUAUAGAAAUUUCCGACUCUCCAGAAAGUUUUGAUGACAGCUCAGCAGAGCAAACCACUUUGAGAGCAGCUACACCGCAAUAUGCAAUAUUCAGAAUCUUGUGUCCGAAAGGACAAUUGAAUGUAAACAAUAAAUGCACAAUACCGUUUAAAUAACAACUGUAAAUAAAGAUAUUUAUACAACUCAAAAUUCUUUAAUUCAGUAAGAAUAAAAUCCAUUAUUUAUUAUUAGUUUGUGAUUACAGGUAAGUUGCAAUCCACACUUGGUGUCAACAAAGCAAGACACGAGUGUGCUGUUUUCUAAUGAAUCAGUGUUGGCAACAAUGUUUACUAGUUUGUAAAGGUCAACAGCAAACGAGAUUAUGUUUCUCCGAAACCACAAAAUAUCUUCUCUCACUACAAAAGUUCGAGAAGAUCAGUGAAUACACGAAGAAAUGUUUACGAUUUCAAAAAUUUUACAGCUGUUGUGUCUUUUCUUAGCACUUCUUCUAUUGUUUGAAGGAUGCAAAGGUGGCACGAUUAAAAACCAAACCGAGAAAGUCAAUGUAACUGGAAUUACGAUAGGAAACAGACAUUUAUUUGACGUUGUGCCUUGCCAGCAGUCACACGUUAAGGUUGACAAUGAAUGCGUUGAAGUUUGGACUGACGACGAUGAGGACUAAAUAUCCAAACAAGUAAAUAAUAUCGGUUUCUUGUUUUCGAUCUCUACACAUUUUCCAAACGAGUAGAAUAAGUAGGUGAACACUUUUAUUUUAAUGCAAUAUGUAAGAAAAGUAAGAGAAAUGUGGUGAAAUGUUUAUUUAAAUGAUAACUUUAAAUAAAAUUAUUUAUGUAACUGAAA
Long non-coding RNA from Zophobas morio, 2079 nucleotides. RefSeq lists it as uncharacterized. The transcript is spliced from 5 exons. The record is from RefSeq and is a predicted model, not a curated record. Lineage: Eukaryota; Metazoa; Arthropoda; Insecta; Coleoptera; Tenebrionidae.